Salvelinus sp. IW2-2015 is the source of this 118-nucleotide non-coding RNA. The record is from RefSeq and is a predicted model, not a curated record. Lineage: Eukaryota; Metazoa; Chordata; Actinopteri; Salmoniformes; Salmonidae.
UGAAGGGUCUGGAUAGAUAUAAACAGUUGUGUGGUGGAUCUGUAGGGUCUGGAUAGGUAUAAACAGUAUAGUGGUGGAUCUGUAGGGUCUGGAUAGGUAUAAACAGUAUAGUGGUGGA